AGUGAACGCUGGCGGUAGGCCUAACACAUGCAAGUCGAACGGCAGCACAGUAAGAGCUUGCUCUUACGGGUGGCGAGUGGCGGACGGGUGAGGAAUACAUCGGAAUCUACUUUUUCGUGGGGGAUAACGUAGGGAAACUUACGCUAAUACCGCAUACGACCUACGGGUGAAAGCAGGGGAUCUUCGGACCUUGCGCGAUUGAAUGAGCCGAUGUCGGAUUAGCUAGUUGGCGGGGUAAAGGCCCACCAAGGCGGCGAUCCGUAGCUGGUCUGAGAGGAUGAUAGCCACACUGGAACUGAGACACGGUCCAGACUCCUACGGGAGGCAGCAGUGGGGAAUAUUGGACAAUGGGCGCAAGCCUGAUCCAGCCAUACCGCGUGGGUGAAGAAGGCCUUCGGGUUGUAAAGCCCUUUUGUUGGGAAAGAAAAGCAGCAGGUUAAUACCCCGCUGUUCUGACGGUACCCAAAGAAUAAGCACCGGCUAACUUCGUG
Molecule: ribosomal RNA, 491 nt
Filed under: uncultured bacterium
Lineage: Bacteria
Description: partial 16S ribosomal RNA
Rfam family: Bacterial small subunit ribosomal RNA
Source: RNAcentral